Molecule: transfer RNA, 76 nt
Filed under: Desulfovibrio sp.
Lineage: Bacteria; Pseudomonadati; Thermodesulfobacteriota; Desulfovibrionia; Desulfovibrionales; Desulfovibrionaceae
Description: tRNA-Ala
Rfam family: tRNA
About the family: Transfer RNA (tRNA) molecules are approximately 80 nucleotides in length.
Source: RNAcentral
GGGGCUGUAGCUCAAUUGGGAGAGCGCUUGAAUGGCAUUCAAGAGGCAGUGGGUUCAAUUCCCACCAGCUCCACCA